RNAcentral lists this ribosomal RNA (301 nucleotides) under uncultured bacterium. RNAcentral's name for it is "partial 16S ribosomal RNA". It matches the Rfam family "Bacterial small subunit ribosomal RNA", at positions 509 to 807 of the family's 1533-position model. The record is from RNAcentral.
CAGCCGCCGCGGGAAUACGGAGGAUCCAAGCGUUAUCCGGAUUUAUUGGGUUUAAAGGGUGCGUAGGUGGCCUGUUAAGUCAGGGGUGAGAGACGGUAGCUUAACUAUCGCAGUGCCUUUGAUACUGACGGGCUUGAAUGAACUGGAGGCAGGCGGAAUGUGACAAGUAGCGGUGAAAUGCAUAGAUAUGUCACAGAACACCAAUUGCGAAGGCAGCUUGCUACGGUUUUAUUGACACUGAGGCACGAAAGCGUGGGGAGCAAACAGGAUUAGAGACCCCUGUAGUCCCUGUCUCUUAUAC